UACAGAGGUGGCAAGCGUUGUUCGGAAUUACUGGGCGUAAAGGGCGCGUAGGCGGCCUUCUAAGUCAGACGUGAAAUCCCCCGGCUUAACCUGGGAACUGCGUCUGAUACUGGGAGGCUAGAGUAUGGGAGAGGGAUGUAGAAUUCCAGGUGUAGCGGUGAAAUGCGUAGAUAUCUGGAGGAACACCGGUGGCGAAGGCGGCAUCCUGGACCGGUAUUGACGCUGAGGCGCGAAAGCUAGGGGAGCAAACGGG
This 253-nucleotide ribosomal RNA is filed under the name uncultured bacterium. RNAcentral's name for it is "partial 16S ribosomal RNA". It matches the Rfam family "Bacterial small subunit ribosomal RNA", at positions 524 to 776 of the family's 1533-position model. The record is from RNAcentral.